RNAcentral lists this long non-coding RNA (3888 nucleotides) under Nicotiana benthamiana. RNAcentral's name for it is "long non-coding RNA (NBEN_LNC030243)". Lineage: Eukaryota; Viridiplantae; Streptophyta; Magnoliopsida; Solanales; Solanaceae. The record is from RNAcentral.
AGUGGGAGGCAGGAGCUCGGACUCCUAACUUGUAAAGAAGAGACCGAUGUAAUGGACCUGCAAGAGCUUUCAUGAACAAAUCAGCGAGUUGAGACGAAGAUGGAACAAAGGACAGAGAAAUUAAGCCUUCAAGCAGUUUUUCACGAACAAAGUGACAAUCAAGCUCGAUGUGCUUGGUUCGUUCAUGAAAAAUGCAUUCUUUGCAAUAUGAAUCGCCGAUUUAUUGUCGCAAUGGAGAGGAACUAGUAAAAUAGGAGAAGCACCAAUAUCAUAAAGAAGACACACUAGCCAUGUAAUUUCCGCCACCAGUCGUCUCAUAGAACGGUAUUCCGCUUCCACAGAAGAGAGGGCAAUAGCUGGUUGUUUUUCGACUUCCAAAAAAUAGGACCGCCACGCAAACAAUAAAAAAUCCGCUCACCAAUCUGUGAGUAUCAGUGCAAGAUGCCUAAUCGGAGCACAAAAGGCGAAGAUAUGUAAAGAAGACCCCGGAGAUCUGAACAAACCAAGGUCAGGAUCUCUACUGAUGUGUUUGAGAGUACAUAAAGCUACUUGAAAAAUGGCCAUUGUGUGGAGAUUAUAUGUAUUGACUCAAAGUCUGAACGGCAUAAGAAAGAUCGGGUCUCGUAUUGGUAAUAAAAUUGAGCUUUCCAAGUAAUCGUCGGUAAACCAUGGGAUCUGGCAAAGGUACACCCUUUGUGGAUUUCAGUUUAGAAGUAGGUUUAAGAGGCGUGGAGACUGACCGACAACCUAUGCAGUUGAAUUCUUCAAGCCACUCUAGGGCAAAUUUGCAUUGGGUUACAACCAGUGCUGCUCAUUCCCGUAUUAAUUCCAUACCCAAAAAAUAGUGAGCCUUUCUUAAAUCCUUAAUUUUGAACUCGGCAUAAAAAAACUGCUUGAUUUCACUAACUUCUUGUGUAUUGUUACCAUUAAUGAGAAUGUCAUCAAUGUACACUGCAAGGAGCGUAAUCAAAUCCCUAGUCUUUUUGAAGAACAAAGAGUAAUCAUUUAGUGAGGAAGUGAAUCCUCUGGUUGCGAGCGCGGAGGACAAAUGAGCAUACCAUUUACAUGAGGCUUGCUUUAAGCCAUAUAAGGAUUUCUAGAGUCGAGACACAUGAGAGGGAGAAAGAGGGACUAAACCUAGAGGAAACCUCGUAUAGACUUCUUCUUGCAAGUUACCAUAGAAGAAUGCGUUGUUAAUAUCAAGUUGGUAAAUCUUCUAAUCUUUCUUAACUUCAAAUACUAAGAUACAUUGUAUAGUUGUCAUUUUUACAACAGGAGAAAAAAUCUCUGUAUAGUCAAUACCCACACGUAGUGUAUCCCCUCUGGUUACCAACCGUGCUUUCAGUUUUCCAAAGAUCCGUCUGACUUCAGUUUUUCUUUGUAAAUCCACUUGCAAGCUAAAGGUUUCUUGCUGUUUGGCAAUUGAACCAUGUCCCAUGUUUCUUGGAAUUCAAUGCCUCAAACUCUUUAUCUAUGGAAACUUUCCACCCAGGAUGCAUCACAACUUAUUGGUAAGAUGUUGGAUCAGUAAUUUGACAAGUUGAAGUAAUAAGUAUCUGGUUUUGUGGUGUCAUUAAAGAAAAGGAUGAAUGAUAAAAAAGAAGACAAGGUGGAUUAGGUGACAGUAAAAGAAGCGUCACAUAUGUUAUCUGAUAUAUACUUAGGUGGAUUAUGAUCCCUUUGUGAUCUCCUCAGUUGAUGCUCAGGUUCUGAAGGCAAAACUUCUCCACUAGAAAUGGAUUUGUAGGAUUAUUCAAAAUAGGAGAAAUAGAGGGAGAAGGUGAGUGAAAAAUAGGUGACCUUACCGCUGAGAUGUAGAAUUAUUAGGAGAAACUGCAGUAGAGGGAGAAGAAGUUACAUGCUUAUUAGGGGAUGAAAAAACAUACUCAAUAGGAGACGGAAGCAUACUGGAAAGAGUUUAGACAAGGAAAAGGGAAAGAUAGUCUCAACAAACUUGACAUCUCUACGAAGGAUCACCUGACUUGUUUGUAAAUUUAGAAUCUUGUAUUUUUUUUUCAAAUGGAUACCCUAUAAAAACACCAGGAAAGGCUCUAGGACUCAACUUGUCUCUAUCUCUGGAGAGAGUAGAACUGAAGCAUAGACAACCAAAUGUCUUAAGGAAUGAGUAAUCUGGAUCUGUCCCAAAUAGAACAUGGUAGGGAGAUUUAAGUUGAAGAACUUGAGAAGGAAAUUUGUUAAUCAAAUGGGUAGUUGUAAGUAAACACUCCCCCACCCCCCAACCCCCAGUAUUUUUUAGGAACAUGUGAUUGAAACAUCAUUGCCCUACAAGUGUCUAACAAAUGUCUAUGCUUUCUUUUAACUACCCUAUUUUGUUGUGGGGUUUCUACACAACUAGUCUGAUGGAUAAUUCCUUGAGAAUUGUAGUAAUCCAUUUGAAUAUGUCAUGUCCCUCUUUCAAAUGCAUUAUCUAAUCUGAUCAUUUUUACUUAGGUGGAAAACUGUCUUUCAACAAGGGUUAGGAAAGCUUUCAAAGUAGGAAAUGCAUUAGAUUUGGUGGAUAGCAAGAAAGUCCAAGUACUUCUAGAGAAAUCAUCAACCACAGUUAGAAAGUACUUCUCCCCUUUAUAUGUUGGUGUGUUGUAUAGUCCCCAUAUGUCUAUAUGUAUCAAGUCAAAAGAAUACUUGGAUAUAAUUGUGUUUUUGGUAAAUAGUGGUUUAGACUGUCUUUCCGUAGCACACACUUGUUAAGAGAAUUUGUUGUUAUUUGUAGAAGUAACAUGUAUUGCUUUAAUAUAUUUCAUAGCAUCAUAUGGUAAGUGUCCUAAGCGAAAAUGUCAUAUUUGUUUGAAUCAGUCACAUUCAUGCCAUCAUUUGAAAUAGAAACAUUAAUAUUGAUAUUUUCAUUUAAAUUUGAUGGACAAAGAGGACUCAAUAGAACAGGACACUUUGCCCUUUCACAAACAGACUCUGAAUCAGAAGACAAUGACCCUAGCAGUCUAUGCCUACUACUAGAAGAAAAAGAAGCUUAAAUAGGUGAUUUAAUUGAGUGUAUUCCCAAUGUAGAAGUGUAAUCCUUGAGAACACAGAGACCAGUUGUGGUUUCACCAAAGAGAGGCUCUUUUCCCAUUAAAGAGGCCUGCAAAAUGCAUCCCGCCUUAGUAUACAACAAUUUAUAAUUCAUAUCAUUGACAAACUAACUUACUGACAAAAGAUUAUGCUUGAAAUCAGGCACAUGUAACACAUGGUAGAGUUUUAUCCCUGGAGGAAGAACUAUAUUGCCUACAACAUAGGCUUUUACUUAACAAGAAUUGGCCAAAUUGACUAGAAGUGGCGUGGGAAAUAACCUAAGAUCAUGCAACAAGCGUCUUUCGAAAGUCAUAUGUUGUAUAGCACCACUAUCUGGAAUCCAAGGAUAUUUGGUUAAGUUUGAAAGAAGUGAGGUAAGGGAAAGCAAAGCAUGUUGCAUACCAACUAGAUUUGUGGCUGCAAUAGGUUCAGAGGAAGCUGUAGAGGUUCCUUGCAGAGAUUGAAACAUUUGGAUCAACUAGUCACACUGCUCCUUGGUGAAUCCUUGUGCUCCAACCAAAGUGGAAACACUUUCUCCUGCCAUUCCUGAGCUUAAAUCCCUUCCAGUUAUUUCCAUGUUAGCUUGUGUAGUAGAAGGUAGUGGCUUCAUCAUCAAGAUAUUUGCUCUCACACCAGAAUAGCAUCAUUAAGUCCCAUAAGGAGUUGAAUCAAUUUUUGAUACUCAUUUAUCUUAACGUUGUGGGUCUUUUCUCCACACUUACAAUCACAAUUGCAUAUCAUAAAAUUGUUGAGUACAUUCAUUUGGUCCUAUAUCCUUUUGAGCUUUGUGAAAUAUCAUGCUAUGUCACUUGUUCCUUGACUAAUAUUAUUAAGUUCUCUUUGCAGUUGGAACAACUUGGU